This 254-nucleotide ribosomal RNA is filed under the name uncultured bacterium. Its description in RNAcentral is "partial 16S ribosomal RNA". It matches the Rfam family "Bacterial small subunit ribosomal RNA", at positions 524 to 776 of the family's 1533-position model. The record is from RNAcentral.
UACGUAGGGAGCAAGCGUUGUUCGGAUUUACUGGGCGUAAAGGGCGCGUAGGCGGCAAUUCAAGUCACUUGUGAAAUCUCCGAGCUUAACUCGGAACGGUCAAGUGAUACUGCUUUGCUAGAGUGCGGAAGGGGCAAUCGGAAUUCUCGGUGUAGCGGUGAAAUGCGUAGAUAUCGAGAGGAACACCUGAGGUGAAGACGGGUUGCUGGGCCGACACUGACGCUGACAGCGCGAAAGCUAGGGGAGCGAAUGGG